Non-coding RNA from Cinara cedri, 214 nucleotides. NCBI's taxonomy places the organism in Eukaryota, Metazoa, Arthropoda, Insecta, Hemiptera, Aphididae. The record is from the annotation of a GenBank genome assembly.
AAAUACUUUCCACCGAUAAUUAAUGUGGCGUGUACGACUGAGUUAUGAUGGUAGGAUAUGUUAUCGUACUUUCUACGGAAAUCGCGAAUAAACAACAUUCGUGAACCGAUUUGGUAUAUAAUGGAUUUGGUUACCCUCCAAUCAGUCUAAUCAAUUAUACCGUUUACUACUGUAUAUAUUGCCGUGUUCCUCGGCGACGGUUGAGAGAAUGUUU